ACGCUUCAGGAGAAGGAGAUGUGCCCAUUAUACAAAGGACAUAUGGAGAAGUGAUAGAUGAGAGGUUCCCAAACCCAUGUUCCGGCAAAACGUGAUCGCUAUUGUUUACGAUCCAGGUCACGCUCCUUGGGGGAUAAGGCAGGAAUUUCAACUUUGGGCAAUCGGCAGCAAACAACAGAUGUAAAUUAGGGAUUAAGAACUCUUCAUCUUCAUUAGACGUUCUCGUUGUCCACCACCCUUCCAAGUUGUCCAUUUCCAUCAAAAGAAUUAUUCUUAGCUUCGAGCAACUUCCGUGAUCCCCAUAAAAUUCCCUCCCGACACUUUUGAGAUUGGGCAUUCUACCCAACCACAAUGCUCUCAAAUUUGGCAGGCGCCCAAGUGGAGGGAGGUGGCUGCACCCUUUCAGAUUGAGAAGAACGAUGGUGGAAAGAUGAGGUAGGUAGGAAGGAAGGUCCAGCAUCCAUCUAGAGAAGUCUAUGCUCAUGUAACCAUUAAGAUGAAGGUGUCGGAGAUUUCUAGGAGGCACAAGCUUCUCCAGCACCGAUUUGUCAACCGAUGCAUCUGCAUGCUCCACCAUACUACUUUCACCAUGUCCCCAUGAAAGCCACAGACUCGUAAGAUUUGAGCUGUUCAACAGUUUUGCCUGGUCUGCCCCUUCCAGAUUCUUGACAUUCUGAAGAUCUUUGAUCUGCAGCUCAAGGCACCCUGUCUUCUCGAGCUCUAAAAUUUGACUCCAUAGAUCACCACGUCCAUCAAGCUCACAUGACCUUUCCAGGUUUAGUUGUUCCCUAAGUUUAUCAACUUCAGAACGUAUAUGUAUUGCAAAUACUGCUCGUUCGACAUGUACAAGUGUAGACAUGUUAAAAAUGCCAUCCGGCAAGCCAUCAAGGAAAAAGCAGCCUUCCAGAUCCAAACUCUGAAGUCGUAAAACACCAAUAGAAGCAGGCAGAUGUUCAAGUUUUACACAGAACGACAAAUUUAGAUGCUUUAACAUCAUGAGUUUGCAUAGAGACUCGGGCAACAUUUGAACCUUGGAACAGCUUGUCAUGUUCAGAUACUCAAGCUUAGAAAGUUGAUCAAUGCAAUCUGGGACCUUUUCAAGAUUAUGGCAAUCCGACAGCUCAAGAUGUGUUAGAUCAUGAAGUUGACAACAAGAUUCUGGUAGUGAGUGGAGUUUGUAGCAAUCGGAUAGGUUCAAAAACUGAAGCUUAUGCAACUUGCCAAAGGAUUCUGGAAGGGUAGGCAGUUCAUGGCAGCUUGCCAAGUUUAAGAAGAGCAAAGCACUGAGGUUACCGAAAGAGGUGGGAAGUUCAUGAAGGUUGACACAUCCUGAUAGGUCAAAGUAUUGCAGCUUUUGGAGGCAACCAACGUUUGUGGGCAGUGCCUUCAGAGAAGUGUUUGAAAGUAUCAAGGUUUGCAAGUUUAGGAGACGGUUCAAGGAUUUAGGAAAGUUUGGGAUAGGAAGGUUGGAAGCAUCAAGAUACCUUAAUAGCUUUAGUUUACAAACAGAACCCGGUAGCUCUGACACAUGGCAUCCACUCAAAUCCAAAACUCUCAGAUAUAAUGCUUGUGAGAAUGCUUGCUUAGGAAGAUGCAGUUUAUUGCAUUCUCUGAAAUGCAUGGCCCUAACCUUUGGUGGCAAAGACUUAAAGGCUGAUGAAGACUCCUCAUGAUUCAUCAAUAGCUGAUAGUGACAGUUCCGAUUGUCUGUUCUAUUGUUGUGCAUCAUUGUUUUUACAUAUGAAAAUUCUUCACUGGCAACAUAUCUUGUGAGAUCAUGUACCACAUCAUGCAUAUGGAAUUUCAGUGUGGGUUUGAACCUCCCGGAAUCAAGUACCUUGAAACACAAGGAAAUUAAAAGAAUCAUUAAUUAGAAGAUUAGAAUAUGAUAGUAGUCAGAGACUGGAUCAAAGGUUUCAGCUGGGCUUUGUUAUGGAUAAAUUAAAAAACUGUCAGUAAGACAACUAAUUGUUACAGAUGCGGAGGUUCAUAUCACAAUUAUAUAUACCCUAAAGAGAUUUUUUGUAUUAUUUGUGGAAUUGACACUUAUAUAUACUGUAUCAAUAAAAGGUGUGUUUGGCCAACAGCCAAAAUCUGCUGCCAUUUGCUGCUCAUGGUUUAUGUAUGUACUUUUCAGGCUCAAACAGUUAAAUGGGUGUAGUUACCAUGAAGAAAGAUGAAUUAAAGUCCACACAGGUGGAAACAGGCUUUGGAGAACCUAGUCCUUGCAUGUUGGUAUGGAAAGAAAGAGAACAGUAAGGGCAAUAUGAGUGAAGAUAUUCGGAUUCUGGUCUGCAAGCUAAUUGGUGCUUUGGUUCAAGUUCUCAAGUGGCCUUCAGCUACAACAGUGAAUCCAAGAUUACUGUUUCAGACAGUGGAAACAUAACUAAUCAGUUUUGCAAGGUUAGUUCAACUGUUGGUUCAUUGAAGAAGUAUAUACAGAAACAUUGAGGGCUCAUAGUAUAAUUAAAAUAAAAAAGGAAAUUAUGUAUAGCAAAAAUUUCUUGCAUCUUCAGCUUCAUGCAUACAUUUGUGUUUCAUAGUUUUUGAAUGAGGAAGCAGUUGCUGAAGCUGGUGGAUAUAAUAGGAGACAGACGUGCUAAAAAAGGGUGUCCUUCCUUGUUUUGAACAUAGUUUGUAGCACUGGCUUUGUUAACGAAAUUGAGGAACACCCUUUUUCAUAAACAAAAUCAGUACAUACAAUUAUACGAGGAAUGUAGCCAUAUUCACCUCAGGGGUAGUUGAAUGAGUAAGGAAGGACAUUCCCAAGAAAUCAUUAAUACAGUCCUGACCAACUUGGUGGAGUGAGAUCCCAUGAUCACCUUGAAUGAAUCCAAGAGCAACCCAUUGUUGAAUCAAGCUGUCAUGAUCUAUGUUAUGGCUCUUAGGAAAGACAGAGCAAUACAUGAAACAUAGUUUCUGGUGUGAGGGCAUGUGGUAAUAACUUAGCAUCAAGCCACUCAUAAUCCCAUAAUCAUCAUCUUUGAUCUCAAGAAUAUUACUGUCUUUAAGUGCAAUCCAUGCUUCUUUUGUGCAAUGCUUAUUCAUCACGUAACCAAGAGCUUUAGCAACUAGCGGUACUCCACCACAUUUCUUAGCAAUUUCUUCUCCAAUCUUGAUAAGGUCGACAUCCAGCCUAUUUCCUUGCAAUGAAGGAUUCAUAAUAGAAAAACAAUCAUCACUUGAUAAGGCCUCCAAUCUAGUUGGUGGAACGGUAUGAAAUUCUGAAGGUUGGAUGAUAGAUAAUGCUUUAGCAACUUGAUCACUUCGGGUGGUUACUAUUAUCUUGCUCCCUUCCUUACCGUACUGUAACAUUUUCAUCAAUUUCUCCAAACUAUCUCCCCUUUUCUCCCAUAGGUCAUCCAAGACAAUUAAAAAAAUCUUGCCUGAAAGUAUGCGUUGAAGGCAAGAAUUUAGAUUCUGUAGUCUAGUAUCAUUUGCUUGGAGGCUACCUUCAACCUGAGAGAUAAUAGUAGCUACAAUCUUGUUCACAUCAAACUCCAUCGAGACAUGGACCCAUGCUUUGACCUCAAACAUAUUUGUCUCCUUAGCAACAAAAACAGAUUUUGCAAGUGUUGUCUUACCCAUACCACCAAGUCCAACAAUGGGAAUGAUGGAUAUUUUUGCUGGAUCAUCAUUCUGCAAUGCCAAAUUUAGUAUCCUGGUUUUUUCACUUUCUCUUCCUACCAUCUCAAUUUUAUCACUAGAAACCACAGAUGUUUCUUGGUUAUUCAUGUUCACAGGUCUUGUAUCUGCUAGUUGCAGAAAAUUGAACUUUCUAUGUUCCUCUGCUAUUUUAUCUAGCUCUUCCCUGAUUUUCCUCAUCUUGUUUGACAGGGUGAAGCGUGUGAUUAGUGGAUGGAAUGACAUAAACACCAAUUUAACCUGCAGUAUGUAGUUUGUUACACCAUCAGAAUUUUUUUUAAGUGGGUAUGUGCUGAUUUUAUAUAUUGUUUAAGUAUUAACCGUGCAAUUUUCAAAGCAAAUAUCAUAAUUUCAUAAAAUCAUAAAUUAAUAUUGAGCAUUGACUUUGUGUGAGAAGGCAUAUUGUAAUCUACCCUUAAAAUAGCAAAAAUGUAAUUAUAAAAAAUAGCAAAAAUGAAAGCUAAAUGAAUAAAGAAGCACACUUCAUAAACGUUGCAUUAUCUAUGAGAAUGGAUAAAGGAUUGCUAAAUGUAAUUGUAUGUAUGCGGCUAGGAAACACAAACCUGUGUCUUAAAAAAAUUUCCAUCACAAGCUUUUUUUACUUCGAAUUCACACCAUUCGAAGAAUUUCAAUUCAAAAUGCUACACAAAAUAUAUAAAAUGUCUAAGCAUAAUUUGUGAAUCUAUAUUAUGUCUUUUAUCUUUUAUGCUUAAGGAUUGACAGACUAAAUCAUGUAAUUAGACAUUUCGAAAGUGAUUUGCAAUAUUGCAUUCAACAUUAUGAUAAGAAUUAGUUCUCAAAAUUGUGCUUGAGACCUGAUGUCAAGAUCAAACAUGAUCACUUUAUUAAAACAUGAUCACUUUAACAUGAUCAAAAUAUGUUUGAUCACUUUAUGAUCAAACAUGAUCACUUUAUGAUCACUUUAUUAAAACAUGAUCACUUUAUUACAAAUUCAUUAAACUUUCGGAUAUGGGAACAAUCUACCAUAAACAAUUUUAAUUAUUAGUCUAUAUGUUAUAAAAAUACAUUUAAGCACUGCAGUUGCAUAACAAAUCAAUAAACACUCAUAAGUUGUAUUUUUAAACCAAGGUACACAGUUGCACUGUCUGCUAUAGCAAUUCCAUCUGUUUACAUAUGCUAAAUAAAAGCUAAAAUGUAGUAGAAUUUUUCACACACAAAAAAAGAAAAUAGCAUGCCAUCGCUGAGCUUUGGUUACUGCUUAGGAAUGCCCUUUUUAUGCGAGGUAGAUGAAGCGAUUUAUUUAAACCUGCACGGUUAAGGAAUAUUAAAUCUAAAAGAAGAAAGUUGUAUACCAUACUAUACAACUUAUUUCAGAUCUAGCCACACUAUCUCAGGACAGUUUGAUAAGUUGACUUGAAAUUAAACAGUGAUGUAAUACUCCAACAAAGAUGUACUCAAACUUAUUAGUUUUUCAUGUUGAUAUGUUGAUGAAAUUUCAAUGUUGCAUGAUUGCAGCAAGCUAAAGUUUCAUGAUAGAUUUUCACCAGUUUCUACCACAACAUAUUUAAGACUAAGGGGGAAAUGAAAAAAUAGGAUAUACAUGUAUAAUGUGGCACACAAAAUAUUCCUAGAGAGGUAUACUAGCAAUUUUAUCAAAUGAAAUAAGCUCUCUAUAUACAUUCAGAGCUCAGAAUAUAGGUAUUACCGGGCAUGUGCUACUCCUCCAUAUCUUUGUAUUUGCCUCCAGCUCAUCAAUCAUGUCUUCAAUGUUGUAGGCAGCAGAUUUGAGCUUCUUGAGCCAAAGCCGGACCGAUUCACUACGUUGGGAGCGUUUCUCAGCAUCCGCCGUCACGGCCUUCACAGUGAUCAAGGUGCCCUUCAUCUCCUCAAAAUCAUCACUGAACCUCUGCAGAAGCUCCACCCUUUCCCAGGCAGCCUGACCAAGCAUGCCAGCCACACGCUGCACAACAGCUCCAGCAAUCAUCUCAGCACCCCCACUCAUGACUAUAGGCCUUGAUCUCUCGCGCACAGGUAUUAUUUGUGCUGCGCCCAAGAUAGCUCAUAGAUAGAACAAAGAUGAUGUGCUCUGCUAUUUAUACUGCUUUCUUUCUUAGCCUGAAGCUUUUGCACCUGAUACCUGGAGUGUAGUGUAGUUGAGUGCUGGGGAUAUCUACUGAAGGCAAAAUGCAUAUAUUCUGAUGCAGAGUUGCACCUUGCAAGCCUCGACCUUUGAGGAAAGGUAUAUGCAUGAUGGCCUCUCAGGAAAGGAACAUAUUUGGUGAAAAAAAGUAAAGAGAAGAACCUCAGAUUAAUUCGAAGAUGUACAAUGAAAAAUGGUAGUUAACAUGAUGCUGAGACCUUCACCUUUUAGUUCAGGAAUGAUGUGGUCCUUCGUCUCUGUGAAGAAAUGAACCUUCGUAAGAAAAGCAUUCUGCAGUUUGCAUUCUUUGAGUAGGACAUACAAAUUGCAGAGAACAAAUGCUGCAUAGCAUGUGCAGGACAUUCAUAAGCCAAGUAUUCUAUCCAGGCUAUGUGAGAAUGCAGGAGCAAAUAGUGGAAUUUGUCAGUUGUCACCUCUUUCUAGUUAAAACCUAUCCAUAAUUCUGAUCGGAGAGUUGAUAUGGACGGCUCGAUUCCAAGGGAUGCGUGAACACCCGACUUCCCGCCCGCCAAUUUGUCACCGCAGCGAUCCGCGUCGAUCUGGGCCGUACAAGCCCGAUCCAGCGUCCUGGACAGGCGUCCACCCCCUAGGGUCCGAUUGGGCGGCGCCAAUGGCGAUGCCUCCGCCGCCAGCUCACCUGGGGCCAAGAUGGUUCGAAGCGUGUCCCAGCUUCCCAGGGAGAAGUUUUCGUCGACUACCUUCAUCUUCAUCUAGGUGGCCGGCGCCGUCGCGGCGGCGCGGUUUGACGCAGGGCGCGGGCGGGCGGCGAGCCGGCGAGACUGCGAGCCGUGCAGCGCGUGCUGGUGCCUGGUACGGGUGGAGCUAGGUUCUCGCCCAGAUGGACGGGUUCCAUGGUACGGCAGCACGAGCGCCGCCGGAUGCCAGGAUCUCACCACCUAUGGUGUGCUUUGGGGACGGCCGGCCAGAUUGCGCGCGGCGAUCGGCCUUCGGGAUUAGCAAUCCCUCCGAGAGAAGAACGCGAAAGGAGGUGAAUCCGUGAAUACCGGGCGUAGAACGGCCGUAGGUUCACCGGAAGCCGGACGGCGUGUUGCCUACCGGCGACAUGCUCGCCGUCUGCCGACGUCCAUUUCCGCUUUGUCUGCUCCCGUUGUCGCUCCAGAUUCCGCCGGCGGCGCCUGCGUGUUUACCGUUGCAGGUGCGAGGCAUCACCCAAUAAAACCAGCAAACAAUACUACCCUCAAACUUGUCAACAUAGGAAUCUACGUUACUUAGGGCAAGUACAUUGCUACACGUCAGCGGUCUCAUAGGUCGUCUCAUGCAGUGCCACGUAGGAUUUUUGAUGAUGUGGAGGAGAGAGAGCGAGGAGAGAGAAAGAGGUCGUUGCUUCGUGAAACAACCACCUCAUGAGCUAAAUUGUAGGACUACGAGACAACUGAACAACCAUUGUACGAGUUAUUGUUGCCAUGCAACUCAUAAUAUUUUAUUUUUCUUAUACACAAAUUAAGAAAUUAUAUACCACUACCAGACAACUUAUAGGACAACCCAUUGUGCAGGUUGUCUGUUAAAUCAUCUCAAGAUUACGUGUCAAUGCAUGAGACCGUCUAUUAGACGACACCAAUGUACUUGCUCUUAGAUUAACUAAAACAGGAUCAUUGACACCCAAAUAUGAACAGAACUUAGGUAAUUGAGUUAGAAGCAUAUCCAACGGCAACAUUAUACGAUGACCUAGACAUUAGAGUCGGGGACAAAGUUGUACUAGCUCGUAGGAGAUCGCGUCGUCCCUCUAGCCUCCACCUCGUUUGGCCAGAGACAGCAAGAGUACCCCGUCGCCAACGCCACCGACGGCCGAAGCACGCUGUACCCCGUGGAACUCGCCUCCGUCGUCGGCUCGUGCGCAGCGGACCGCCUCCUGAGAUCGCUCCCCGCGGGCGCCGCCGGCGUCGCGGGCUUCUCCCGGUGUUCGCUCACCCUGACGUCGCAGCUCUCCUCGCAGCGCGUGUUCGGCAACAAAUUCGCCCUGUGCCUGCCGGACUUCGCCUUGUUCGGCAACACGUCGGUGAACCUGGGGCUCCAGUUCCUCCCCGACCUCGCCUCCGUCAUCCCGUACACCCCGCUCGUGAGGAACCCCCGGAACGGCGCUCACUACCUCCCCGUCAAGACCAUCUCGGUGCGCUGGGAUCAGGACGUCGAGGUGUCCAUGCGCCCCGGCGCGCUCGACCUCGACUUCAACACCGGCCGCGGCGGCGUGGUGCUGAGCACGGUGACGCCGUACAUGGCCAUGCGCUCCGACGUGUACCAGAAUAAACGUGUCACGUCAGUAUAUCUGCUCCUCGAUCCAGCAUCUCCAACAGAUUGUAUCCACGGAUAUCCGCAUCUGAUUAAUCGUUAAGUCAACUCCAACACUUACUUUCCUUCUCCUUUAGCAACGCAAAAUAAAGCCUGAAUGUCUCUGCAUAUACAAACACAUAUAACAGGAUCAAACCAUCGAUCUCAAGUUCUCAUUUUCUCAACAACCCAAAGCUCUUCCAGUCGCUAGAAGAUGAGGAAGCACCAUGCCACCUUCGCUGCAACUGCAACCCAGCAUGCAUCCUCUGCAGCUAGCCGUCGCAGUGCGCGCGGCUUCGGCGGCAGGUUCGCGAUGUGCCUCCCGGCCUUCGCUGCAUUCGGCGAUACGCCGGUGUACCUGGGGAUGGAGUCGCGGGGCCUCGUCGAGUACACGGGCUCCAUCCCGUACGCGCCGCUCCUCGCGAACCCGAGGAACCCCUGCUAGUGGCCAUUACAUCCCCGUCAAGGGCAUCUCCGUGAACUGGCACGGCGUGGACGUGGUGGCCUCCCUGCCCAACGGUGCGCUGGAUCUCGACGGCCACACCGGCCGAGGCGGUGUCGUGCUGAGCGCGGUCACGCCGUACACCAUCAUGCGGGCGGAGGUGUUCUGCCCGUUGAUCCAGGCGUUCGACGAUGCAAUAAGGGCACGUACAACAGUCGUGGCAGCCGUCGUCUCACGACGGAAGUUUUGCAAAAUCCCCCUUGCUUCACUGCAGUAACUGAAGAGAGAGAGGGAAGUCGUCGCGUGGGGAGACGACGGCAAGCGCUCGUGCUCCCAGGCGAAGAAGACGGCUGGCUGCGCGUUGUACGGAGCGUCGCCUCCUCGUCGACACCGUGCGGAUCCUGUUGUGCGCGCACCAAAUCUCCCGAUUGCGCGCCAAAUCUCCCGCCGUAUAUGUUUCGUCUUUGCCAUUUUCUCCACCUCGACAGUCUCCGCCGCCCUUGCGUGCCAUUGCCAAGAGCUGCCUCUUCCCUCUCCAACGAUGUCUAGCAGGAUGGUAUCGCUUUCGAAGAGGAAGGUCACGGUACCUUCGAAGAGCAAGACGGCGGCGGCAGCAGGAAUGACGCGGGCGGUUGCAGCGGUGGCGAGUGCGGCUGCGACCAAAGUUCCUCGUGGAAGCGGUUCGGCUCUAGCACCCAACCUCGUCAGCCUCAGCAACAGUGCGACGGCGGCGUUCGUCGGUCGCGGAAGUAGCUCGUCCCCAACAACCAACCCCUCGGCAAGUUCGAUUCAUCCUCAAUCCAUGGCAGACAGCUUCGAUUCUCCACCAAUCCAUGGCAGACAAGGCUACCCAAUCGGAUUUGGCGUUGUUGGUUCUUCACAUGGCAGAUGUGGUGGCUCCAUCAGUCCAAGUUCCCCUUCGUUUGGGAAACAAUCCAGUUGGGAUCCAGCAUGGUAAUUCCAAAAAUAUUUGCUAAUUUUCUAAUUCACAAGUUUACAUAUGUUGCUGCUUGUUGUUUUGCUGAGAGUAUCUAACUAGGUAUGCACUGCAAUUAUAUUUUCUAGUUACUGAUAGUGCUAAUGUUUUUGGGAUAGGAACUAGAAGAUCUAUGUGUUCACUUCAGUAGAAUUAAUAACUAAAGUACCGAAUGUGUAUUUAGUAAUCACUGAUUUUUUUCAAGGUACUGAAUGUUUCCAGUUCAAUAGAAUUGGUGGCUGCAUGUAUGUGUUCAGUGAUGAUCACUGAAUCAAUAGCUGAAUAUGUUCAGUCGGUCAAUUUAGAAUUAUCUUCAGUGUGCAGUCAGUCAUUUUUUUGUUAAAUGGAUGCCAUUUAAGAUCAAAGUUGAAUCUAUGCUAACUAAAAACAAAGGAAAUGCUAGCUCGUGUAUCCCCUGGUAGAGAACUGUUUCAGUGAAUAUUAAGUUCAUGUAUACAAUUUUGCAGGGACAACAGCACACACCCUCCUGGUGGAUUUAUGGGCUUAUUCAACAACCAAUCCCAUUUAUCACAGAAUUCACAUUUUGUUGGUGCUCCAUCUCAUUAUGCACCUUUCAAGGCACCAAGGCCUGUCGAUGUUGGUGUCAGUUUUGCCUCAAUGGAUGCACUGCAGCCUAACAACAGUGGAAAUUCAUCUCAAGAAGUACAAGUUUUAUCUGAACAGGAGGCUAUUGAAGUUGAUAGUGAUACUGAGAAUGUCAGGACAGAGAAGCGGAUCUUGUGGACACCAGAAGAAGACGAGAAACUGAUGAGUGCUUGGUUGAAAAAUUCAACAGACUCAUCCGUUGGAGCUGAUAGGAUUAACGAGCACUAUUGGGGUGAUGUUGUCAAGUCAUACAACAUGACUAUCCCGUCACAGAGGAAAAGAAAUUCAAAGCAAGCCAAGGAUCGAUGGCACAAGAUUAAUCGGUGGAUUGAUCUAUAUGAAUAUGCAUAUUUGAAGGCUCGCAGAUUAUUCACAAGUGGCUACUCCGAUCAGAUGUGGAUUGAUACAGCAGACAAGUUCUAUUUGGAAGACAACAAGAAGGCAAAGCUAGGUCCCUUUGUGUUAAGAAUGUUUGGAAAAUAUGCCGAGAUGUGGCAAAGUGGAAAACAUAUAAUGAAGACCUCAAGAAUGCUCGUAAAAGAAAGUCAUAUCGCAUUGAAGGAGAAAAGGAUGAAAAUGAUGAUAUUGAAGAAAUGCUAGAGCGACCUAUUGGACAAAAGGCAGCUAAAAAGGCUGCUCUUGCUGCAAAAAUAAAGUCUAAAGGAUCAAACCUGGAUAAUGAUGGAAAAUCAAAGGAAUCGGCCAUUGAUGUGGAGAAGCUCGAUAAAUUUAGUAAAAUUCAGGAAGAUUUAAAUGCAAACCGCAUGAAGGUACUGGAACUACAACAGAAGUUAUCAUCUGAAAAGCUUGAAACCACUAGACUGGCUCAUCUUACUGCUCAAUGCUCGAGAAGGAAUCAAAGAUGAUGCAAGCUUACAACUCUCUCAUCUCUCAAGAUACAAGUUCAAUGUCUGAUGAAGAAAAAGCUGAACGUGUUGCUGCCAUGAAGUGUCUUAGGAAGUCUUUAUUUCCUGAAAUGAGCUAGUCAGGUAUGCACACAUUAUGUAGUUUUAUUUUUUUUCAGUUAUAGAAUAGCUGAUAACUGAUUAUAUAAUGAUUUCAAGUACAGGAUAAUUAAUUUUGGGCGCUGGAAGCCAUGGUGAGUUGUCUUCUGCUGGACAACAGAAAAAUAUUUGCUAGUUCUUUUAGUAAACAGCCCAGCUGAUGAUGGCCUGUUGCCUUCGUUUACACAGGCAUUAGAUGAAACCUACUUGUGUGAACAUGUCUACUUGUCGAAUGUUUGAAUAUGUCUACUUGUGUGAACCUGUGUGAAUGCGUGGUAAACACCUGAUCUGCCAGAAGCAUGCGUUUCAAGAUUUUUCAGUUACUUGUAUGUUAAAUAGUCCACUGUCUGCAUGUCUCCCCUUUGAAACUAAAAGAUGAACACUGUAGCUGCAGCUGUUCGCUUCAGCUCUGCAGCUACAGUAGUCCAGCACUGUGGCUAGCUGCUGCUAAUUGGGACACUAGCUGUGGGCCAACUGCUGCAGCAGCGGCAGCCAGCUGUGCCGAACACGGUGAAAGCACCAUGGCACCUUCGCUGCAACCGCAACCCAGCAUGCAUCCUGCAGCUACAACUCUUGCCACGUCUGCUCCCCAUGCCGUAUGCCGUCUCGCUGCUACUGGUUGUGCUCCUCCUCCAAUGCACGGCGGCGCAAGCGAGCCAGCAGCCGCCGCUGGUUUCCAGGAUCACCAAAGACGCCACCUCCUCCCUCUACACCAUCUCCAUCAAGGACGACGCGCCGCUGCUCGUCGACCUCGCGGGCCCGCUCGUCUGGUCGACGUGCCCCUCCCCGCACGCCACGGUCCCGUGCCAGUCCGACACGUGCCGCGCGGCCAACCAGCAGCGCCCGCGACGGUGCCGGUACGUGGACGCCGGCGCGUUCUGGGCCGGCCGCUAGCUGCCGGCCUGGGGCUGCGCCUGCGCCGCCCACCCCUUCAACCCGGUCACCGGCGACCUCACCAGCUUCGCCAUGUCGGCCAACACCACCAACGGCACCGACCUGCUGUACCCGGAGGCGUUCGCCGCCGUCGGUGCGUGCGCACCCGGCCGCCUCCUGGCGUCGCUCCCCGCGGCGGCCACCGGCGUCGCGGGAUUCUCCCGGGACCCGCUCUCGCUGCCAUCGCAGCUCGCAGCGCAGCGCGGCUUCGGUGGCAGGUUCGCGCUGUGCCUCCCAGCCUUCGCCGCGUUCGGCGACACGCCGGUGUACCUGGGGACGGAGUCGCGGGGCCUCGUCGAGUACACGGGCUCCAUCCCGUACGCGUUGCUCCUCGCGAACCCGAGGAACCCCAGCGGCUACUACAUCCCCGUCAAGGGCAUCUCCGUGUCCUGGCACGGCGUGGACGUGGCGGCCUCCCUGCCCAACGGUGCGCUGGACCUCGACGGCCGCACCGGCCGAGGCGGUGUCGUGCUGAGCACGGUCACGCCGUACACCAUCAUGCGGGCGGAGGUGUUCCGCCCGUUGAUCCAGGCGUUCGACGAUGCAAUAACCAGGCUGCAAACCAUGGCGCUAUCAAUUACUGCCAGUACUUAAUUAAUGAGCUGACUGAUACUGAUGAUCAUCUUUGAGCUGAUCGAGAUCAACUCACCUGCAGAGGGAAGAUGACAGAUGUGAAGCGUGUGCCAGCGGUGAAGCCGUUCCAGCUGUGCUACAACGGCGCUGAAGCGGCCGAUCAGCUACGACGUACCAAGGAUCGACAUGGAGCUAGCCGGCGCCAGAAGCAACUGGACUGUGUUCAAUAACAACUACCUGGUGCAGGUGGACGGCGCCAUGUGCGUCGGGAUCCUCGAGAUGGGGCCGGGCGCCAUGCCGGUUGAUCGGCGGGAAGACGAUGGAGAACAACCUGCUGGUGUUCGAUCUGGAGAAAGGGGUGCUGGGGUUCAGCAUGUUGUUGGACUUUCAGUUGACCAGCUGCUACAGCUCUAACCUGAGUCGCCUUUGAGCCAGUAACAGAGUGCUGCACUUGUACUCCACCAGCACAAGCUUUGUAGGCAUCUCUGUUUCACGCAUUUUGCAGCAGUAUCAUUGUGGUCCUCAGGCACGAUGCACAAAAAAUUUCAGGCCAUCUCGCUCCCUUUUCCCGUUGCCUGUGCUGCACUCGGAUCCUCACUUGUUAGCUCCAGAUAACUGAUGCUGAUCAAAUGCACUAUGGAUUCAAGAUAAAAUGCAUGAAUUCAUCAACGCAGUUAACAGAUACAACCUAAAAGAGACUCUAUGUAAUGCAAGUUCAUGCAGGCCAGGAUGAAAGCACAACUGAAAUGAAAUUGUACCUUAUGCUUUACACAUGCAAGAACAUUUCGACAACACUUUCAGCUUAUGUGGUGGUGGUGCCACGUCGGGCCAGCGUGGACGUCCGUGGCGCCACUCCCGGUGCCAGGCGGUGCCAUGCUGGAGUACAGUGACGCCGUGCACAACGGCAUGAUCAGGUGGCCCGACGUGUUCCUCCCGCUCCCCCCGGUAGUUCGACGAGGCCAUGAAGAGGUUCUCCUUGCGCUCUGCAAAACAUGGUGUCAUUAUCCAAGUACAGUACCAAAUAGCACUACCUGGCUGAGCUGAUUAGUCAUCCGUGAACUGAACUCACAUGCAAGGGAAACAUGACCGGCGUGAAGAGCGUACCGCCGCCAGGCGGCGGUUGAACCUUCGAGCUGUUCUACAACGGUUCUUGAAGUGGCCGGUCAGCUAAGACCCUGGAGAGAGCGACCUGAUGGUGUUCCGUCUGAUUAAUUUCAUGAAUGGAAGGGCGAACUUGUUAGCUUCAGAUAAAAUGCUCAAGAUCAAAUAGAUGAAUUCAUCACCGAAGUUAUAUUAAUUGAUACGGUCGGCAAAAAAACUCUUUACCAAUAUUAAUUGAUACGGUCGGAAAAAAAAACUCUACCAAUUUCAUGCAGGCAAAGAUAUAAUUAAAGAGACUACGAUAAGAGAAAAAUCUUAGUAAACCGUACCUACAUUAUGCUUUACACAGGCAACGACGUUUGGACGAAGAUACCCGGCUCUCCUUGUAUACAUAAUGCAUAUGGAAUUUGGACAGCUAACCAUCAUUUCAAACAAAAUACAAUGAGCUGCUGAAAAAGCUAACUAUGAUUUGAGAGGCCGGGUAGUAUAUGGUAGAUCCUUGACAGGCCUCAAGGUAGCCUGCCAAAAAUUGAAAAUAAAAAAUGACUCAAGACUUUAGAAAUUCAUAUUUAGUCGCAGUCGACUAAUUUGUCCGCACAACCGUUAGCCAAGUCACAGAAAUUAAAGAAAAGCAUGCACUGUAAGUUAUCUGGCAGAAAAGAAAACAACAUCGAUAAGGAGGUUCUCACCAUGCUAGAUGAGGUGUGAAGCUUCUGUUACUCGAAUUCAACUUCUGGAAUAUGAGCGAUCUUGUGCUUGUCCUCUCCUUGGCACUUCUCUGACAGUGCUGGGCAGUCCGUGAUCCGCAGUUUCUUUAACUCAGUAAGACGCUGUAUGCUUUCUGGCAAUGAAGAUAGCAUUGGGCAUGAGACGAUUUGAAUUUCUCUCAAAGAAGUAAAAUCUCCCAGCCAUUCUGGCAGUGUCUCCAAGUCAUAACAGUCCUCUACGUUGAAUUCCCGGAGGGAGAUGAAACAUCGGAUAACCUCUGGCAAUGUUGUAAGACCCGUGAGGGGGCCAAGAGCAAGGUUGUCGAUAGAACAGAGAUACCGGGCCCUAUGCCACGCUUAAGGAGAAGGGGAUGUGCCCGCUAUCAAAAGGAAACAUGGAGAAGUGAUAGAUGAGAGGUUCCCAAACCCAUGUUCCGCAAAAACGUGAUCGCUAUUCUGUACCACCCAAGUCACGCUCCUUGGGGGAUAAGGCAGGAAUUUCAACUUUGGGCAAUUAGAAGCAAACAGCAGAUGUAAAUUAGGGAUUAAGAACUCUUCAUCUUCAUUAGACGUUCUCGUUGUCCACCACCCUGCCAAGUUGUCCAUUCCCUCCAAAAGAAUCAUUCUUAGCUUCCAGCAACUUCCGUGGUCCCCAUAAAAUUCCCUUUUGAGAUUGGGCAUACUAGCCAAGCACAAUGCUCUCAAAUUUGGCAGGCGCCCAAGUGGAGGGAGGUGGCUGCACCCUUUCAGAUUCAAAAGAACGAUGGUGGUAAGAUGAGGUGGGUAGGAAGGAAGGUCCAGCAUCCACCUAGAGAAGUCUACGCUCAUGUAACCAUCAAGACCAAGGUGUCGGAGAUUUCUAGGAGGCACAAGCUUCUCCAGCACCGAUUUGUCAACCGAUGCAUCUGCAUGCUCCACCAUACUACUUUGACCAUGUUGCCAUGAAAGAGACAGCCUCCUAAGAUUUGAGUUGUUGAACAGUUUAGCCUGGUCUGCCCCUUCCAGAUUCUUGACAUUCUGAAGAUCUUUGAUCUGCAGCUCAAGGCAGGGUGUCUUCUCGAGGUCCAAAAUUUGACUCCAUAGAUCACCACGUCCAUCAAGCUCACAUGACCUUUCCAGGUUUAGUUGUUUCCUAAGUUUAUCAACUUCAGAACGUAUAUCGAAUGUAAAAAAUCCUCUUUCGACAUGUACAAGUGUAGACAUGUUAAAAAUGCUAUCCGGCAAGCCAACAAGGAAAAAGCAGCCUUGGAAAUCCAAACUCUGAAGUCGUAAAACACCAAUAGAAGCAGGCAGAUGUCUAAGUUUUACACAGAACGACAAAUUUAGAUGCUUUAACAUCAUGAGUUUGCAUAGAGACUCGGGCAACAUUUGAACCUUGGAACAGCUUGUCAUGUUCAGAUACUCAAGCUUAGAAAGUUGAUCAAUACAAUCUGGGACCUUUUCAAGAUUAUGGCAAUCCGACAGCUCAAGAUGUGUUAGAUCAUGAAGUUGACAACAAGAUUCUGGUAGUGAGUGGAGUUUGUAGCAAUCGGAUAGGUUCAAAAACUGAAGCUUAUGCAACUUGCCAAAGGAUUCUGGAAGGGUAGGCAGUUCAUGGCAGCUUGCCAAGUUUAAGAAGAGCAAAGCACUGAGGUUACCGAAAGAGGUGGGAAGUUCAUGAAGGUUGACACAUCCUGAUAGGUCAAAGUAUUGCAGCUUUUGGAGGCAACCAACGUUUGUGGGCAGUGCCUUCAGAGAAGUGUUUGAAAGUAUCAAGGUUUGCAAGUUUAGGAGACGGUUCAAGGAUUUAGGAAAGUUUGGGAUAGGAAGGUUGGAAGCAUCAAGAUACCUUAAUAGCUUUAGUUUACAAACAGAACCCGGUAGCUCUGACACAUGGCAUCCACUCAAAUCCAAAACUCUCAGAUAUAAUGCGUGUGAGAAUGCUUGCUUAGGAAGAUGAAGUUUAUUGCAUUCCCUGAAAUGCAUGGCCCUAACCUUUGGUGGCAAAGACUUAGAGGAUGAAGACUCGUUACUAUUCAUCAAUAGCUGAUAGUGACAAAUCAAUUUGCCCGCCUUAGUAGUGCUGUUUGCCACACCAUUUGUGCAAGAUAAUUCAUCACCAGCAACAUGCCUUGCGAGAUCGUGUACCAUAUCAUGCAUACAAAGUCUAAGUGUGGGUUCAAAACUCCUUGAAGCCGGCACCUUGCAAAAGAAAAUAGAGCAUAGUUCAUAUCUUUUCAAGAUAAACAAUUGCAAUUUCGUAAUUACAAGUACGCUUACUGUAGGAGUCAAAUUUGUGAGGAAGGACAUUCCCAAGAAUUCAUUAACAUAUUCCCUACCAAUCUUCUGAAGCGUUGCCCAUUAGUAUCUUGAAUAAACCCCAAAGCAAUCCAUUGCUGGAUCAAACAAUCAUGAUCUAUAUCAUGGUUCCUAGGGAAGAUAGAGCAAUACAUGAAACAAAGUUGAAGUUGUGGAGGCAUGUGGUAAUAGCUUAGCAGCAAGCCCUUCAGAAUUCCUUUGUCAUCAUCCUUAAUAUCCAGUAUGUUACUAUUUUUAAUUUCUAACCAUUCUUCUCUUGUGCACUGCUUCUGCAUCACAUAACCAAGAGCCUUAGCAACCAGAGGUACUCCACUGCAUCGCUGUGCAAUAUCCUUUCCAAUGUCUACAAGGUCAGUAAGUUGACCAUUUCUGAGAUUACGAGGCUUCAUAAUAGACCAACAUUCAUCAAUUGACAUACUCUCCAGUUUAAUUGGGUCAACAAUCUGAAAAUAUGAAGAAUGUAUGGUAGUAGUAGAUACUAAACUAACAACCUUUUCACUACGGGUAGUGACUAUUAUAUUGCUACCUUUCAUUCCAGAUUGCAACAUGUUCAUCAGAUCCUCCAACUUAGACCUCUCUUCCUCCCAUAAAUCAUCUAAGACUAUAAGAUAAAUCUUGCCAUGGAGUAUGCGGUCAAGUUGAGAUUUUAGGUACUGCAGAUCAACAUCAUUAGCAGGAGUGCUACCCUCGACCUGAGAUAUAAUAGCAGACACAAUCUUAUUUAGCUGAAAGUCCAUCGAGACAUGAACCCAUGCUUUCACAUCAAACAUAUUUGUUUCCUUGUCAGUGUAAACAGCCUUUGCUAAUGUUGUCUUACCCAUUCCACCAAGGCCAACAACAGGAAUGAUAAAGCUUUCUUUCUCUCCAUUUUUCUGCAACACCUUAGUCAGUAUGUCUUUCUUCUCUCUUUCCCUUCCUAUCACCUCAAUUUCAUCUCUGUCACCAAUAAAGGUUUCUCUCCACUUCUUCUUACUAUCUUGGCUUGUUGGGGUAGGCAAUGUCAGAAAACGGAAUUUCGUCUGGUCCUCAACAAUCUUAUCUAGCAUCGCCCGGAUAUUUCUCAUCUUAUCUGACAUGGUGAUGCGCACAACGAGUGGAUUGAUUGAUGAGAAGAAAAAUUUAGCCUGCAGUAUUUUUGUAAGAUGGAAUCAGUGAAACAACCACAACAUAUAUCCUCAGAAGGCACGUGUUACUAAAAAUCUACCAAAAAGUUAGUAUAGUUUUAUGAAGUAGAUAUAACUCCUAACUAGAAAAUUAUUUUCUAUUUCUGGACAGUAGCAUGCAAGAAUUCCUAUGGAUUGCCAAAUUGUGGUCACCAACACUGACAAAAAAGUUGUGGUAGUGUCACAGUCACACCGCACAACAUUAUACUAAUUAAUCCUACAAGUGGAUCAAUGUUCCUAUUCUAUUUCUUUAUCGAUGAAUUGAGAAUUGAGAUGCGAAUUUCGUUAGUCAAUUGUGCUAGAAAAGAUUGUCUAUUCUAUGACCAUUUAAAUUAGGUACAGGAAUUAGGAUCUUUUUGGAAUGUGUGACUACAGUUCAAUGGACAAUUUAAAGCUCUAACCCAUUUUACUUUGUGCUUGAUUUGGUAACCUUUUGAGGAACAAAACUAAGCUGGGGCCCCUAGAAAUAAUAACAAAAAGAGUGAAUCAGACUGAAAUUAGAAUGCAGAAAUGUGUAAAGUUUCCAUGAAAUUUCAUGUAAUUUAUUCACACUAGCACUAUAAGUAUAUGCUGAUUAUAAUAUUAUUAAAUAGACCAUACAAUAUCCAGUACAGUAAUCAACUGUGACCUUGCAUUGGAGGGAUCAGGCUAAUUACAGAAUGGGCCCAAUAACCUUUUAUUCUGGAGAUAGAUUGCUCUUUGGCAAUCGACUUUAGUAGAGAGCAUAGCAAAGUAGCGAAGAGUUGGCAAGCUAGGAGGAACUACUGCUAUGUGGUUGAGGCAACAACACCUCGUGUGUUGUCUAACACCUGAACCAUGACUGUAACCCAAGUAAUAUGAAGCUCUCUUGUCCCUUAGAAACAUGGGAAAGGAAUCUGUAUUUAGCAUGCUGCAAUUAUUUUUAAUUUUUAAUUAUUAAAGCAUGUGAAUUCCCCCUUCAACAACUAGAAUUUUUUUUGGAAAAAGAAUAUUUGUUUGGUUUCCCUGCGCAAUUUUCCCAAGCCUUUCAAAUAAGCAAGGAAAUCCUCGUAAGCUAUGAAUGGGCAAGGGAAUAAAACCAUAGUUUAAAAUAGUCAGCUAUAGCCUCCGCUUUCUCCGGCUAUAGCGGAUCGAGAUGGGUGCAGCUAUUGCUCACGUGUGCAAUUCAUUGGCUAUAGCUCCAUCCAACAACCAAGUUUUUUAAAAAAAGAAUAAUUGUUUGGUCUCCCUGCACAACCUUUCCCAGCCUUUCAAGUGAGCAAGGAAAUCCUUUUAAGCUAUUGAAUUGGCAAGGGAAUAAAAUAUGAAAUAUGUGUCUACUUAAAAGGGAGCAAAUGCUAAACAGAAGAGAGGACGUGUGCCUGUGGGACACAGUGGAAGAAGGUAUGUAUGGUGGUUACAGGGCCCGGAUCUACUAUGUCAAACUUUUGUGCUUAACUCUCGUUAAAUCCGUGGAUCUCCCUGUAGGUUCAACUAGGCAAUCAACUGACUAGCAGGUGUUUCCACGAACCAGUGUCAUACGAUGAUUGCAAUUAGAUAAUUAAUUCAGAUAACUAUUUUCUCCAAGGAACAUAAUUUAGAUAAUAAUUAUCUGGUGGCUAAAAAAUUGUACAGAUCUAGCUCUGUGAGAGGCCUUAACAACUUUCCAUCAAAACUACGUGCGUAUAUGAUUGUUGGGUGUUCUGAGGGCUGUGUGUACGUAUAUGAUUUAGCAUAUCGUAGUCUAUUACUUCUUCACAAACAUAUGUAUAUGGAACAUUUUGAGAAAUAUGUAAAUGGAAUAAUUUUGACAAAUAUCAAAUGUUUUGUGGUGUCUGUUUACUGUGCACACCCACAGAUCCACGAGAAUACAUGUAGACGCUAACUGAAUAAAGAGUAACUGCUCUCCAUUAUCCUAAUAGCUAGAAUUAGUAGCAUGAGAAGACCCAGUGUCAUAGUACUUACCGUGCAUGUACUAUUUCUCCAUAUCAUUGCGUUCGCGCCCAACUCAUCCAGUGUGUCCUCCAUGUCAUAGGCAACAGAUUUGUACUUCUUGAGCCAGAGUCUCGCCAAUGCAUCCUCGGACUCCUGGGAGCGCUUCUCAGCAUUGUUAAGUGCAACCUGCAGGUUAAACAUUUUGUCCUUCAUCUCCUUGGCAUCAUUCUCAAAGUUCCAUAGCAGCUCGAUCCUCUCCCAGGCUUUGUCACCGAGCAUGCUGCCAACAUGCUGAAUCACGGCACUUGCGAUCAUGUCAGGUCCCCCACUCAUGGCUGCAGACUUGUGUUUUGCUCUCUCACAAACACAAGUGAUGUUGCUUUUGUGUACUUGAAAGCUCCUAUAUGAAGAACAUACGACAUGUUAUGCAGAUAUAUGCUGCUGCCCGUCUUCUAGUCAAGCUUUUUGCAUCCACAGAUACCUGAAGUGCAGUGCAGGUUCAGGACUUGGAAUCCCCGCCGAAAGCAAACUGCAUAAAUCCCUAGACUACACCGCAAGUCAUGGCCUUUGGUGAAAGUAAAAUAGGCGUGGUGCCUAUCCUGGAAAAGAGAACGUAUGGACAAAGUUAAAGAUAUGAACUUGAAAUAUUUAACUCAAAGAUGACAGAUUAUGAUUUCUUUGCUAAUGAAUUCGGGAGGAGGGAGAGAUGGGGAGAAUGACGGAGCAAACACUGCACGAGACAUAAAUCAUAAGAGAUGGAUGGAUUUUUCGGCUUCUGGCCAUGAGCUUGCUACAAGAACAUAUAAGACUGAUAUUCACGAGGGAGAACACUCUUGGACUGAAUGAAUACUGAAGAGUGCCACCCCUUGCUUCUAAAGAUGAAGAUGAUUUGUUAACAGUACACGGUUCACUUGUUCGAUUUCAAUAGGAACGCCAAGCGCGAUUGUUCGCCCCGUACCUUUAGCAUCGGCGACGUACGGCGGCCCGCCGUAGUUUCACCGCGUCCUUGCGGCAACACGAAGAUCAAUUUCGGCAACAGACGCGAGCGCCGCCUCCGAAGGGUUCCUGCCCCUGCCGGAGCCGCCGGACGACCAACGGCGUCCGCCUCCAGCGAAGCGGCCAAGGCCCUCCAUCCGCCUUAGCAACCGCCUCUCCACCGGCGGCAUCGCCCCACCGAGCCCCGCCCCCUCGACAUUCCCCAUCCACCUGCAGACCGAUGAAUGGGGAGUACUCUACCAACCCGGGGUCCUACUGAGGGCCCAAGGAAGGAACGCGAGGUCGAGCUCGUCGGAAGCGUCCGCCGCCGCGGUCGAUGGCGUCACUCUCGCGCUCGCCGUCGCUCGGUUCGGCCCCGCAGCGUCCGACGCCACCGGCGGCGAGCAGCAGCUGGGGCGGGUUUGGGUUUGGGCUUGGCAUCCGGCUUGGGUUUGGGCUUUUCAAUUCACACACGCGGAAAAAAAAAGGCUGAUCUCUUCAUGGGCUCAUGGCCUGUCUAACAUUAUUCUCCAAAAAAGGCUGAUAGUGCUCCAGCAGCAUAAUCUUGAGCCAGCCUUGGUGCUGCGGUAAAAGAAGUGGCGUGAAAUGUCAGUUAAAACAUGCGGUAUGAAAUAAUGUUUCUAAACCGAGACACUCUACUGUUUUAUACAGGUAAAAUAGCUAUUUUGGUCCCUCGGCCAAUCUAGUUUCUUAAUUUUUUUUAUCAAACAUAUCCUUGUGUGAGACUUCAUAUUAGCUUAAGAUUAAUGCGAAAAGUCAUGUUUGCCCUCGGCCUCUUCUUCCCGUCCUCAAUUAUCCAAAAUAAGUAUGAGCAUAUAUAUGUUUACCGAGAGAGUACAAAUACAUACAUGAAGUAUGUAUACAGUACCAUGAGUACUUUAAAUUAUGUGUACUAAGUUGUGUAUAUCAUGAAAGAAUAUCAGCACUUACAUUUUGUAUAUCAAAAUUUAAUCCGUGUGAACACAUGCAUGAUUUUAAAGAGCACGAGAACAUGUAAAACUAUAUUUUAUAUCAGUUAAAAAAUAUACUGUUGUCUGUAUGUAUUGAGAGAGCAUGAGCAUAUACAUGUUUGACCUACAUGAGCUAAGGGUAAAAUGGACUUUUCACAUUAGUCUCGUACUAAGAUAUAUAGCACCACAUCAGCAAAAUGAUGAGUUUGACCUUAAAACGAAAGUUGAGGGACCAAAUUAACCUAUCUGAAAGUUGAGGGGCCAACUUGACUUUUCGUGUAAAGUUCAGGGAUUAAAAUGAAGAAUGAGUUUGACCUAAACGGAAGUUAAAGUUGAGGGACGAACUUGACUUUUUGAUGUAAAGUUUAGGGACUAAAAUGUCUAUUUUGCCUUUUAUACACAGUUGUUAGUUCCCAGACCAUUUUGCCUCGACAAGCAAAACUAGCCAAGUCCAAGAUGGGCGAGGCGGUCAAGCUCAUCGGCUCCGGCAGCAGCCCCUUCGUGCACCGAGCCGCUGUGGCUCUGCGCCUCAAGGGCGUGCCCUACGAGUUCAUCCGCGAGGACAUGAGCAACAAGAGCGAUCUGCUUCUCCAGCACAACCCCGUCCACAAGAAGGUGCCCGUGCUCCUCCACGGCGGCCGCGCCGUGUGCGAGUCCCUCAUCAUCGUCGAGUACGUCGACGAGGCCUUCCCGGGGCCGCCGCUCCUCCCCGCCGACCCCCUACGACCGCGCCGCCGCCCGCUUCUGGGCGCACUUCCUCGACGACAAGUGCCUCAAGUCGUUGUGGCCGGCGCUGUGGACGGAGGGCGAGGCGCAGGCUGCGUCGAUGGCGGUGGCGAGGGAGAACUUGGCGAUACUUGAGGAGCAGCUCAGGGGGAAGAAGAAGAAGAGGUUCUUCGGCGGCGAUUCCAUCGGCCUCGUGGACAUAGCCGGGGUGCGCGUCCUGAGCGACGAGGAGCACCCGGCCCUGCGCCGCUGGGCGAACGAGUACCUCGCCGACGAAGCCGUCAAGGAGUGCCUGCCGGACAGGGACCAGCUUGUGGCCCACUUCUCCGCGAACAGGGACAAGUGCAUCUCGAUAGCCAAAUCCAUGCUGCCGCCGAAUUGAUGGAGUUGCUUGAAACAAUCGAUCGGCUUUGUAUUAUCGUGACGGUGACAUCUAUCUGCUGUUUCUUGAGUGUCAGAAAUAAAGGGCAACAGUGUUGCGAACUUGUUCUCUUAGGGGUGUUUGGAUACGAGGUGUUAAACUUUAACAGUGUCACAUCGAAUGUUUGGAUGCUAAUUAGGAAAACUAAAUAUGAGCUAAUUAUAAAACUAAUUGUAGAACCCUAUGCUAAUUCGCGAGACGAAUCUAUUAAGCCUAAUUAAUCCAUCAUUAGCAAAUGGUUACUUAGCACUACAUUGUCAAAUCAUGUACUAAUUAGGCUUAAUAGAUUCGUCUCGCGAAUUACACUCCAUCUAUGCAAUUAGUUUUAUAAUUAGCCUAUGUUUAAUACUCGUAAUUAGCAUUCAAACAUCCGAUGUGACGGGUGUUAAACUUUAACACUAGUGAGCCAAACAGGCCAGAGUGUUGUUUCCUGGCAGCUUCGUCCCUCCCGUCUUCCAUUAUUGGUCAAUUGACUCUCCUUUGUAGCGGUAUUCUAGUAGAAGCAAAGAAAUCGAUCAUCCACUUUUGACCUGUAUCCUCCUGCAGCAACGACUGAGGUUCUGUUGACCAAAAUACAUGUUGGAUGGGCACGUGUCGCAGCGCAGUUCCUAUAAAGCACCCACAGCAGUUCGAUCUGGCCAGAACAAUCCCCGAUCGAGCGCUUCAGUCGGUGUGUACGAGAACGGAGGCAAAGAUGACGACCGAACCGGUGACGCUCAUCGGCGCUUUCGGCAGCCCGUUCGUGCACCGCGUCGAGGUGGCCCUGCGCCUCAAAGGAGUCCCCUACGAGCUCAUCCUGGAGGACAUGAGCAACAAGAGCGAGCUGCUCCUGAAGCACAACCCCGUGCACAAGAAGGUGCCCGUCCUCCUCCACGGCGACAGGGCCGUCUCCGAGUCGCUCGUCAUCGUCGAGUACGUCGACGAGGCCUUCGACGGGCCGCCCCUCCUGCCGGCCGACCCCUACGAGAGAGCCCUGACGCGCUUCUGGGCUCACUUCCUGGAGGAGAAGGUGAUUAAUCGAUAGUACCCGCUACUGCACCUUCAGUUGCAACAUCGCGCCAUUCUCAUUUAACCAAUUAACCCUGCCGAGCAAAUCAAAUUGACAGUGCCUACAGCCGCUCCGGGCGGCGCUGUUCGCGGACGGCGAGGUGCAGCAGGUGGCAAUGAAAGAGGCGAGGGAGAGCCUUGCAGUAGUGGAGGAGCAGCUCAGGGGGAAGAGGUUCAUGGGAGGAGAAGCCAUCGGCCUCGCGGACAUAGCCGCCGGCGGCCUGCUGGGGCACUGGCUUGGUGUGCUCGAGGAGGUCGCCGGAGUGCGUGUCCUCAGCGAUGAGGAGGAAUACCCGGCUCUGCGCCGGUGGGCGGCGGAGUACAGCUCCAGUGAAGCGGUGAAGGAGUGCCUGCCGGACAGGGCCCGGCUUCUCUCCUACUUCGGCGCCAUCAGGGAGAAGUGCGUCUUGGUGGCCAACUCGACGCUGCCCAAAUAAACAUUGAGCUCAUCAUCAUCGUCAUCUAGUAAUGCUUUAGCAUGUUUGGUUGCCCGUCACCGUCACCGCCUGCCACCUCCCCGCCCCACCCCGCCGGCCACCUCCUCCCGCCUCCCCCGGCGGCUCCCUGGCUCCCCGCCGGCCCCGCGCGCCUCCCCGCCGCCCCGCCGUGCUAGAUCUGCUGUGGGGAGAGAAGAGAGGAAGGAGAGAGGAGUGGAAGUCCUCUCUGUGCCGCUCUGUGCUGUACUGCUGUGCCGCUGUGCGCUGUACUUAAAAAAUCUCUUAAGACCCGUUAGGUUACUUUUGCUUAUUUUUAAGCACGUGUCAUAUUGAAUAUUUAAAUACGUAUUAAACAUAGACUAUUUACAAAACUCAUUACAUAAGUGGAGGUUAAACGGCGAGACGAAUCUAUUAAGCCUAAUUAAAUCUAAUUAAUCCAUCAUUAGCAAAUAUUUACUGUAGCAACAUAUUGUCAAAUCAUGGACUAUAUAGGCUUAUUAGAUUCGCCUCGCCGUUUAGCCUCUACUUAUGUAAUUGGUUUGUAAAUAGUCUAUGUUUAAUACUUCUAAUUAGUAUCCAAACACGGAUGCUAAAAAUAAGCAAAAAAAACCAAACCAGGUCUAAAUCCUCUCGCGGGAGGGGCUCGAACCGGUAGCAGAGGUCGGGUUCCAUCCGCAUCCGGCGCUAGAGGGUCGUCGAGGACUUCCAACUUUAGAACUAAUACUAAUGCUGUUAAUAUUAGUAUCAAGUUCAAAAAUAAUCGGUACUAAAAAGGACGAAAGAUAGCUAAGGAUGAAAGAUAGUAGCCGGUCCAUCGAAUGUCUCGUCGAUGUACUCAAGGAUGACGAGGGACUCGCAGAUGGUGCGGUCGCCAUGGAGGAGCACGGGGCCUUCUCGUGGAUGGGGUUGUGCGUGGGGGCUCUUGUUCUCCAGGUCUUCGAGGAUGAGCUCGUAAGGCACGCCCUAUGGAAGAAUAUAACUCGAUAAUAUAACCGAGUACUUAUAAGUACGAAGUGAUUAGUUUAAGAUUAAAAAUGAUUCAGAAAAAAAAUAGCUAGAGCCUAAUCGCCGCCUUGCUCGGCGCGGUGCCGUGAGUCCAUGCGCCCCACGGUCGUCGCAAGGGGAACUGGGAAGGGGCUCUCCGGUCGUCCGGCGUCCGUGAUGCCGCGCGCCCGCGCCAAAAAGCCUCGCCGGAGGGAGCGGAUGGCCGGAGCACGAUGAUUGACCGUCAUUUUCAUCUCCGGAGGUCGAACACAAUUAUUUGGGCAUCUGAACAUGGAAGAGGAAAAAAAUGGCAAGAAGCUCAAUCUUCCGGGACAAGCAGCUGGCAGCCAUGAAAUCCUAAGGGCAUGUACAAGCCACAGACAGUUUGUCGUCUGGAUGAUGAUGUCACACCAUAUAAAGACAUCUAAAUAGACAACGUGUACAAUCCAUUGUUUGUUUGAUUGUCUGUUAAGUCUUUAAUGUCCGUAUGUAGCCACGGUCAAUCGUAAAUAAGACUUGUGUAUACUAUUGUAAAUAAGACUUGUGUAUACUAUUGUGUUGCUUGUUGAAAAAAGAAAGAUCAAGCAUAAAUAAGAUGCUUUUGGAAACAUAAAUAUAAAAGAUAUUUGAAUAUAUUUAUAUUAAUGUAAUAGAACAAAAUACUAGAGUAGGCCUCUACGAUAGCGUGCCCCACGUCCUGCAUAUGUACACAGCAGUCAUUCUUCAAUCCAUGUUCAGAGUUACCUCAUUUUAGACCUAUCGAACAUCUUCCACAUUAUUCAGAAUCAGCAAAAGUCUGUACUUAACAAAUAAAUAAGUUAGGUGGAUACUUGCCUUUGGGAGGGCAUCCAUAACAGCUGCAGGAAUAGGCAUAUGGAAUAGGACUUGUUCAUUGAAGGAUUUUGCAGCUUUGAGGAUCUGAUGAACAAGCUUAGCCUGAAAUUGUUGAGAACUCAUGCUGAAAUUAUUCAGCAACUAGAUCCAUGAGUUUUGAGUGAUUACCAAGGUGCAUCCUAAGCUGCUAAACGUCCAAAUCCAAUGCAAGAGGGAUCAUUGCCGGCUGCAUCCCACCAAGCUAGGGACGUUGAAGGGGGAACGUGCGGUGGCGGCGCGUCCCUGCUAGCAGCAGCGGUGCAGUCUGGCGCGGCGUGCGGUGGCGGCGCCUCGCGCCAGCAGCCUCAGCACAGCCAUGGCGCACGAGAGGGGGCCGAUUCGGCACCUGCGGAGCUCGAUUCGGAGCUCGAAUCGACAGCGGCAGAGGUCGACUCGGCGGCUGCGAAGCUCGAUUCAGCGCCUGCGGAGGUUGAAUCGGCGGUGGAGGAGCUCCUCCUGGCGGCCCGCGUGAGCACGCGAGCAGCUUGCUCGAUGCAGGAGAGCAGCCUAGCGGCCAGCUGGGCAAGCUGCCGGGCAAAGUGGUGAGGUGAGCAAUACCAAGCGGCUUGCCUUGCUUGGCGUGGGACAACGGAUCCACGUCGCCAUCAAUUUGACCUUCGCGCGGGGAAAGCAAGGACGCGGGGAGGGGAGGUGGAGAUGGAUUUGGCGCGCAAAAAUCCUGCGCGCGCCCAAAUCAACUGCUGUCCGCACGGGAUUCGAGCGUGCGGUUGACCGUCGGAGACGAGGCUAUACAACAGUGCUGUGGUGUCUAUUCCCGCCUCGGAGCAUGGAUGCGGCCGCCGUCUCACGAGGCUGAGAGGAGGUUGUUUUUGCAAAAAUACCGGCUCGCAGACGGCUCCUAGACACCCGUUGUAUCGUGCCCUAAAAGCUCAAUCUUCCGGGACAAGCAGGUGGCUGCAACAAGUUAAAAUCCUUUAAUCACAGUGCCACCGACAGCCGUGUGUUCAUCCCUAAGGGUACUUUUAACAGUUUAGACGGCUGCCGUCUGUAAGUCAUAUAUAGACAGUGAAACCGACAGCUUGUACAAUGAUGUGUUUUUUAAGUUAUUUGCAAGUUAUUUAAUUCAUUCAAAUCAAGGUGAUCAGGUAUAAAUAUGAUCUAUGUAUGCCAUUUUGUUGCUUGUUCACUCAAUACAAUGCAUGCUACCCCAUAUUAUGGACACAUAAAUUUGACAUAGAAGCAUAAAUAUAAUAUAUAUUUAUAAUAAUUGAUCUUUGCAAUACAUAAUACGAUAAUAUUAUGACUUCCGCUUGGGGACCUUCAACAAACGAUUCCUUUGUGUUAGAUAAUUCCAUGUGCUCUUUCUGUGAGGUGAAUGUAGCUCUCUCUUUUUCCAGAGCUAAAGCACUUUCUUCCCUUUCACUUCUAUCUUUAUCAGUAGCAUUCACAUUUUGAGUACCACCAGCACCUCCUUGGCACACACCACCUGUGCAAGGGCUACAAGUUUCAAUUUUAUCAGUAAAUUUGGCAAUUGCAGGUCCAUACUAAACAUGAGUCCUAGGACAAGCUACUCUACCUGAAAUUGGAAGUAGGAUCUUCGAGGUUACUCGGUGGAUCCGGAAGUAUAAAACAGUGCCCAGUUGCCAGUUGGAGAGCAGGAGAUAUUUCUGAUAUAGCUCUCAGUGAAUUACAACAUGAAGGAUUAGCAUCUGCUUUCUUGAAAGUUUUUUCACCUGGAUUCAUGGUAUCCUCUUUAGCAGAAACGCUUUGGUCAGCUAAUUUUGUUCCUGUUUCUGAAGAAUUAGCAUCUGCUUUCUUGAAAGUUUUUCCAUCAGUGCUCUCUUUUCCUUCUGCAUUGUCAUCUACAUCCAUUUCCUCAGGCACAUCAAAAGUGCCAGUUUGGCAAAUCCUGUGUAAUCUUCUGAGGUGUUUCACUGAAUUCUUUACCAUCUAGAAAGGAAUCGAAAAUUGGCAUUUGGAGGAAGUAUAGCAUGCACUGUUCUUUUGUUUUUGUAACAACAUGCUCAGCAAUCUCAUCCCAUUCUUUUCCUUUAAAAAUUUCUAACGCUUCCAAAAGAAGCAAUGUCUCCUGGUCAGUCCAGUUAGAACCACCUGAGCCCGGAACCUCUGUAUAUUCCAUAAGGAUGAAAUCAGCAUUUGACAUGCCUUCGUCAAACUUUCCUACAUGUGAAUCUCGACAAGAAGAGUCACGGCUCACCUCUUCCCCUCUGUUCGCCCGCCGGCGGCGCGUCAUCUUCAGUCCCCGGUCGGGAGCAGCCCCAGAUGAUGUGGAGCCGCAGCGACGACGCGUAGGCGCUACUCUUCGGCAGCGGCGCAAGCUCGUGUCGAUGUGGAGACGGAGAGAAGGGAGUCGCGGAUCUGGAGGCCGGAGGGGAGCUUGCGACGGGGGAUUUCGAUCUGCUCUCGCAGGAGGGGGCCUCGCCUCCGGUGACGCCGCGGAGAUGGAGGAGGCGUGGCGCGGCGGCAGCCCAGCUAUCCGGCCUCACCUCCCGUCGGCGUCCCGCGCGGAGGGAGGAGGUGUGGCGCGACGGCGGCCCAGCUAUCCGGCCUCGCCUCCCAUCGGCGUCCCGUGCAGAGGGAGGGAAGUGGUUGGAAUCGGUUGGAGCAGCGCGGGCUGAUUUUGCACUCGAUCCGGAGGUGCGCCGAUGGAUCGUACAACGGCGCCUGGAGGUCGUCGCCAGGUGUUAGAGCAUGCGAGACGACGGCGCGCCCGUCGCUUGGCUCAAAUGAGGACGUUUUUGCAAAAACGCCAGCUCGCAGACGGCUCACAGUCGCCCGUUGUACGUGCCCUAAUGAGUAUCGAACGAGCCAUUACCAUUAGCAGUCAACACUCAACAGUUUAGUUUCCCUAGGAAGGAUAGCGCUUCUUCGGCGGCGACGACUCCAUCGGCCUCGUCGACAUCGCCGCCAGCAACGUGGCUCACUGGCUCGGGGUCAUGGAGGAGGUCGGCGGGGUGACGCCGCUGCUCACGGACGAGGAGUACCCCGCGCUGUGCCAGUGGGCGAAGCGCUACGCCGGCGACGAGACCGUGAAGCAGUGCCUGCCCAAGAGGGACGAGCUCUUUGCCAUGUACUCUGGGUUCAAGGAGAUGUUCCAGGCCAUGGCGACGUCGCAAAAUCAGUGACAUGUUUCAGUGCCAAAAAAAAGUGUGCUGCGGACGUGUUAGUAACGAUCAAGAUGUUCUUCGAUUGGAAUAAGAAGGCGAUUAUCAGUUAUCAUCAUAGUCGUUUUCUUUAGCACGACUCUUCUCCUGCUCAGAGCUUCGGCUGUGACUUUUCCGGUGGAAUGAUGUUUUAGCUACAACUUGUCUGGUUAGAAAAAUAUUUGGUAAAACGGCUUCUUCUAACGGCGUAACAUGGAUAAAAAUAAUGAAAUAUCUAUAAUACAUUUAUCAUUUUAUUUUUCUUUUUUCUUCCAAUUUUUUCUCAUCUCUUUUGGCCUGUUCGCUUCAGUUUAUAAGCCGGUUGAAAAGCUAAAACGACUUAUUUGUUGUGAGAGAAAAAUACUGUUUGGUGGCUGAUAAGCCGACUAAAUAAGCUGAAGCGAACAGACCGUUUAUUCCCCUUCACUUUUUUCUUUUUUAUUUCUCCUCUUAUCUUCUCCUCCUAUUCUUUUCCCUAUCAUCACCUUCCUACCAGCGCCGCUCCGCUCCCUGCCAGCGCCGCCGGCGUCCUCCGCCCCCGCGCGCCCACUCUACCGCCUUCCAAACCCCCACGACCGCACCGUCGCCACCUUUGGGCGUCGCGCCGCUCCAACCUCCUGCAUCCGUGCCGCCACCAUCCGGCCUCCCCGCGCCCACUCUGACGGCGUCCUCCGGCCUCCUCACGCAAGCUGGGGACUUUUAGCAUCCACACCCAGGGGCAAGCUGGAACUUUGCCCCGCACGAAGGAGAUGAAGCCGCAGGGAGCUGAUAUUUUAGGCUUCUCCUUCCUCUCCUAGCUCCUCUCAGAGGGAAUUGCGGGACUCCUCCCAUGGAGCCGUUUCGUGAGCGGUUGUUUGGCACGACUUUUUUAGAAGUCGGUGGAGAAGCCGUUCAAGAAGCCUUGCCAAAGGGACCUAGGGACGAUCAACACUGGUGUUUAACUAUUUGUGUUUCUUCUCCGCCGUCAGAUCUGCGUGUACUGUGAUCAGGCCCGUUCCUUUCUUUUGACCAGUCAACGACGCCCGCCACAGCCUUCUUCCCCGUUCGCUCGCAGUCGGAGACUCAGGAGAUUUAAUUAUUUAACACUUUUACAAAGGCCACACCUUCAUUUGCCAGUUUUAGAAUAGCUUCUACACUUUUGCCACCGCCUAACAUUUGAGCCAACAUAUUUGCCACUUUAUCCUACGUGGCACGACACCUCCUCCCUCCAGCGCGGAUAGGCAUGGGAAAUGACCAUCGUACCCUCACUUAUCCGUUACGCUCCUCCCAGAUCCGACGCCUGGGAUGUGCCAGUCGAUGGUCGGCGACCUGCUGGUAGUUGCCGCCGAUGAAGACGUCGCCGUAGAUGAGGCCGGCGAGGCCACCACCGAUGAGCGGGCCGACCCAGUAGACCCAGUUGCCGGCGAAGUUGCCAGCGGCGACGGCGGGGUCGAAGGAGCGGGCGGGGUUCACGGAGCCGCCGCUGAAGGGGCCGGCGGCAAGGAUGUUGGCACCGACGAUGAAGCCGAUGGAGAUGGGGGCGAUGGUGCCGAGGGAGCCCUUCUUGGGGUCGGCGGCGGUGGCGUACACGGUGUACAGGAGCGCGAAGGUGAUGAUGAUCUCGAACACCACGCCCUCCAGCUCGCUGAUGCCGGCGACGCCGUGGGUCGGGAUGGCCUUGCCGUGGGUCACGAACUUGAGGAGUAGGCAGGCCACGGAGGCGCCGAGCAGCUGGGCGACCCAGUAGAAGAGGCCGGUGAGGAUGGUGAUGUGGCCGCCGACGGCGAGGCCGAAUGUCACGGCGGGGUUGAGGUGGCCGACGGAGAUGUUGGCGGCGACGGAGACGCCGACGAAGAGGGCCAGCGCGUGGGUGAACGCGAUCGCCACCAGGCCGGAAGCGUCGAGCGCGCCGCCAUGGCUCAGCUGCCCUGCACGUACACGCACGGCAAGUAAUCGAUUGAUCAGCACGCGGAGUCAAAGUGCCUCGAGAUCGACGGAACAGCAGACCUCACCGUAGGUGAUGGCGGAACCGACGCCGGCGAAGACGAAGAGGAGGGUGGCGAUGAACUCGGCCACGUAGGCCAUCUCUCUCCAUUUUCCUGUUGCGUGUGCUGCACCACUAUAUUUAGAGUCGGAUCCUCACUUGUUAGCUCCAGAUAACUGAUCAAAUGCACUAUGGAUUCAAGAUAAAAUGCAUGAAUUCAUCGACACAGUUAACACAUACAACCAAAAAGAUACUCUAUGUAACGCAAAUUGCAGGUCAGGAUGAAAGUACAGCCGAAAUGAAACUGUACCUUAUGCUUUACACAGGCAAGAACAUUUCGACGACACUUUCAACUUAUGAGGUGGUGGUGCCACGUCGGACCAGGGUGGACGUCCGUGGCGCCACUCCCGGUGGCAGGCGGUGCCAUGCUGAGUACAGUGACGCCGUGCACAACGUCACGGUCAGGUGGUCCGACGUGUUCCUCCCGUUCCCCCCGAUAGUUCGACGAGGCCAUGAACAGGUUCUCCUUGCGCUCUGCAAAACAUGGCGUCAUUACCAAAUAGCACUACCUGGCUGAGCUGAUUAGUCAUGCGUGAACUGAACUCACAUGCAAGGGAAACAUGACCGGCGUGACGAGCGUGCCGCCGCUGGGCGGCGGUUGAGCCUUCGAGCUGUUCUACAACGGUUCUUGAAGUGGCCGAUCAGCUAAGACCCUGGAGAGAGCAACCUGAUGGUGGCCCGUCUGAUUAAUUUCAUGAAUGGAAGGGCGUACUUGUUAGCUUCAGAUGAAAGGCUCAGGAUCAAAUAGAUGAAUUCAUCACCGAAGUUACAUUAAUUGAUACGGCCGGAAAAAAAAACUCUUAACCAAUUUCAUGCAGGCAACGAUAUAAUUAAAGAGACUACGAUCAAGAGAAAAAUCUUGGUAAACCGUACCUACCUGAUGCUUUACACAGGCAACGACGUUUGGACGAAGAUACCCGGCUCUCCUUGUAUACAUAAUGCAUACGGAAUUUGAACAGCUAACCAUCAUUUCAAACAAAAUACAAUGAGCUGCUGAAAAGCUAACUAUGAUUUGAGAGGCCGGGUAGUAUAUGGUAGAUCCUUGACAGGCCUUAAGGUAGCCUGCCAAAAAUUGAAAAUAAAAAAUGACUCGAGACUCUAGAGAUUCAUAUUUAGUCGCGAUCGACUAAUUUGUCCGCACAACCGUUAGCCAAGUCACAGAAAUUAAAGAAAAGCAUGCACUGUAAGUUAUCUAGCAGAAAAGAAAACAACAUCGAUAAGGAGGUUCUCACCAUGCUAGAUGAGGUGUGAAGCUUCAGUUACUCGAAUUUGACUUCUAGAAUAUGAGCGAUCUUGUGCUUGUCCUCUCCUUGGCACUUCUCUGACAGUGCUGGGCAGUUGGUGAUCCGCAGUUUCUUUAACCCAGUAAGACGCUGUAUGCUUUCUGGCAGUGAAGAUAGCAUUGGGCAUGAGACGAUUUCAAUUUGUCUCAAAGAAGUUAAAUCUCCCAGCCAUUCUGGCAGUGUCUCCAAGUCAUAACAGCACUCUACCCAGAAUUCCCGGAGGGAAACGAAGCAUCGGAUAACCUCUGGCAAUGUUGUAAGACCCGUGAGGGUGGAAAGAACAAGGUUCUCGAUAGAACAGAGAUACCGGGCCCUAUGCCACGCUUCAGGAGAAGGGGAUGUGCCCCCUAUGAAAAGGAACGAUGGAGAAGUGAUAGAUGAGAGGUUCCCAAACCCAUGUUCCGGCAAAACGUGAUCGCUAUUCCGUACCGCCCAGGUCACGCUCCUUGGGGGAUAAGGCAGGAAUUUCAACUUUGGGCAAUCCAAAGCAAACAGCAGAUGUAAAUUAGGGAUUAAGAACUCUUCAUCUUCAUUAGACGUUCUCGUUGUCCACCACCCUUCCAAGUUGUCCAUUUCCACCAAAAGAAUCAUUCUUAGCUUCGAGCAACUUCCGUGAUCCCCAUAAAAUUCCCUCCCGACACUUUUGAGAUUGGGCAUUCUACCCAACCACAAUGCUCUCAAAUUUGGCAGGCGCCCAAGUGGAGGGAGGUGGCUGCACCCUUUCAGAUUGAGAAGAACGAUGGUGGAAAGAUGAGGUAGGUAGGAAGGAAGGUCCAGCAUCCAUCUAGAGAAGUCUAUGCUCAUGUAACCAUUAAGAUGAAGGUGUCGGAGAUUUCUAGGAGGCACAAGCUUCUCCAGCACCGAUUUGUCAACCGAUGCAUCUGCAUGCUCCACCAUACUACUUUCACCAUGUCCCCAUGAAAGCCACAGACUCGUAAGAUUUGAGCUGUUCAACAGUUUUGCCUGGUCUGCCCCUUCCAGAUUCUUGACAUUCUGAAGAUCUUUGAUCUGCAGCUCAAGGCACCCUGUCUUCUCGAGCUCUAAAAUUUGACUCCAUAGAUCACCACGUCCAUCAAGCUCACAUGACCUUUCCAGGUUUAGUUGUUCCCUAAGUUUAUCAACUUCAGAACGUAUAUGUAUUGCAAAUACUGCUCGUUCGACAUGUACAAGUGUAGACAUGUUAAAAAUGCCAUCCGGCAAGCCAUCAAGGAAAAAGCAGCCUUCCAGAUCCAAACUCUGAAGUCGUAAAACACCAAUAGAAGCAGGCAGAUGUUCAAGUUUUACACAGAACGACAAAUUUAGAUGCUUUAACAUCAUGAGUUUGCAUAGAGACUCGGGCAACAUUUGAACCUUGGAACAGCUUGUCAUGUUCAGAUACUCAAGCUUAGAAAGUUGAUCAAUGCAAUCUGGGACCUUUUCAAGAUUAUGGCAAUCCGACAGCUCAAGAUGUGUUAGAUCAUGAAGUUGACAACAAGAUUCUGGUAGUGAGUGGAGUUUGUAGCAAUCGGAUAGGUUCAAAAACUGAAGCUUAUGCAACUUGCCAAAGGAUUCUGGAAGGGUAGGCAGUUCAUGGCAGCUUGCCAAGUUUAAGAAGAGCAAAGCACUGAGGUUACCGAAAGAGGUGGGAAGUUCAUGAAGGUUGACACAUCCUGAUAGGUCAAAGUAUUGCAGCUUUUGGAGGCAACCAACGUUUGUGGGCAGUGCCUUCAGAGAAGUGUUUGAAAGUAUCAAGGUUUGCAAGUUUAGGAGACGGUUCAAGGAUUUAGGAAAGUUUGGGAUAGGAAGGUUGGAAGCAUCAAGAUACCUUAAUAGCUUUAGUUUACAAACAGAACCCGGUAGCUCUGACACAUGGCAUCCACUCAAAUCCAAAACUCUCAGAUAUAAUGCUUGUGAGAAUGCUUGCUUAGGAAGAUGCAGUUUAUUGCAUUCUCUGAAAUGCAUGGCCCUAACCUUUGGUGGCAAAGACUUAAAGGCUGAUGAAGACUCCUCAUGAUUCAUCAAUAGCUGAUAGUGACAGUUCCGAUUGUCAGUUCUAUUGUUGUGCAUCAUUGUUUUUACAUAUGAAAAUUCUUCACUGGCAACAUAUCUUGUGAGAUCAUGUACCACAUCAUGCAUAUGGAAUUUCAGUGUGGGUUUGAACCUCCCGGAAUCAAGUACCUUGAAACACAAGGAAAUUAAAAGAAUCAUUAAUUAGAAGAUUAGAAUAUGAUAGUAGUCAGAGACUGGAUCAAAGGUUUCAGCUGGGCUUUGUUAUGGAUAAAUUAAAAAAGUGUGAGUAAGACAACUAAUUGUUACAGAUGCGGAGGUUCAUAUCACAAUUAUAUAUACCUUAAAGAGAUUUUUUGUAUUAUUUGUGGAAUUGACACAUAUAUAUACUGUAUCAAUAAAAGGUGUGUUUGGCCAACAACCAAAAUCUGCUGCCAUUUGCUGCUCAUGGUUUAUGUAUGUACUUUUCAGGCUCAAACAGUUAAAUGGGUGCAGUUACCAUGAAGAAAGAUGAAUUAAAGUCCACACAGGUGGAAACAGGCUUUGGAGAACCUUGUCCUUGCAUGUGGGUACGGAAAGAAAGAGAACAGUAAGGGCAAUAUGAGUGAAAAGAUAUUCGGAUUCUGAUCUGCAAGCUAAUUGGUGCUUUGGUUCAAGUUCUCAAGUGGCCUUCAGCUACAACAGUGAAUCCAAGAUUACUGUUUCAGACAGUGGAAACAUAACUAAUCAGUUUUGCAAGGUUAGUUCAACUGUUGGUUCAUUGAAGAAGUAGAUACAGAAACAUUGAGGGCCCAUAGUAUAAUUAAAAUAAAAAAGGAAAUUAUGUAUAGCAAAAAUUUCUUGCAUCCUCAGCUUCAUGCAUACAUUUGUGUUUCAUAGUUUUUGAAUGUGGAAGCAGUUGCUGAAGCUGGUGGAUAUAAUAGGAGACAGACUUGCUAAAAGAGGGUGUCCUUCCUUGUUUUGAACAUAGUUUGUAGCACUGGCUUUGUUAACGAAAUUGAGGAACACCCUUUUUCAUAAACAAAAUCAGUACAUACAAUUAUAUGAGGAAUGUAGCCAUAUUCACCUCAGGGGUAGUUGAAUGAGUAAGGAAGGACAUUCCCAAGAAAUCAUUAAUACAGUCCUGACCAACUUGGUGGAGUGAGAUCCCAUGAUCACCUUGAAUGAAUCCAAGAGCAACCCAUUGUUGAAUCAAGCUGUCAUGAUCUAUGUUAUGGCUCUUAGGAAAGACAGAGCAAUACAUGAAACAUAGUUUCUGGUGUGAGGGCAUGUGGUAAUAACUUAGCAUCAAGCCACUCAUAAUCCCAUAAUCAUCAUCUUUGAUCUCAAGAAUAUUACUGUCUUUAAGUGCAAUCCAUGCUUCUUUUGUGCAAUGCUUAUUCAUCACGUAACCAAGAGCUUUAGCAACUAGCGGUACUCCACCACAUUUCUUAGCAAUUUCUUCUCCAAUCUUGAUAAGGUCGACAUCCAGCCUAUUUCCUUGCAAUGAAGGAUUCAUAAUAGAAAAACAAUCAUCACUUGAUAAAGCCUCCAAUCUAGUUGGUGGAACGGUAUGAAAUUCUGAAGGUCGGAUGAUAGAUAAUGCUUUAGCAACUUGAUCACUUCGGGUGGUUACUAUUAUCUUGCUCCCUUCGUUACCGUACUGUAACAUUUUCAUCAAUUUCUCCAAACUAUCUCCCCUUUUCUCCCAUAGGUCAUCCAAGACAAUUAAAUAAAUCUUGCCUGAAAGUAUGCGUUGAAGGCAAGAAUUUAGAUUCUGUAGUCUAGUAUCAUUUGCUUGGAGGCUACCUUCAACCUGAGAGAUAAUAGCAGCUACAAUCUUGUUCACAUCAAACUCCAUCGAGACAUGGACCCAUGCUUUGACCUCAAAUAUAUUUGUCUCCUUAGCAACAAAAACAGAUUUUGCAAGUGUUGUCUUACCCAUACCACCAAGUCCAACAAUGGGAAUGAUGGAUAUUUUUGCUGGAUCAUCAUUCUGCAAUGCCAAAUUUAGUAUCCUGGUUUUUUCACUUUCUCUUCCUACCAUCUCAAUUUUAUCACUAGAAACCACAGAUGUUUCUUGGUUAUUCAUGUUCACAGGUCUUGUAUCUGCUAGUUGCAGAAAAUUGAACUUUCUAUGUUCCUCUGCUAUUUUAUCUAGCUCUUCCCUGAUUUUUCUCAUCUUGUUUGACAGGGUGAAGCGUGUGAUUAGUGGAUGGAAUGACAUAAACACCAAUUUAACCUGCAGUAUGUAGUUUGUUACACCAUCAGAAUUUUUUUUAAGUGGGUAUGUGCUGAUUUUAUAUAUUGUUUAAGUAUUAACCGUGCAAUUUUCAAAGCAAAUAUCAUAAUUUCAUAAAAUCAUAAAUUAAUAUUGAGCAUUGACUUUGUGUGAGAAGGCAUAUUGUAAUCUACCCUUAAAAUAGCAAAAAUGUAAUUAUAAAAAAUAGCAAAAAUGAAAGCUAAAAGAAUAAAGAAGCACACUUCAUAAACGUUGCAUUAUCUAUGAGAAUGGAUAAAGGAUUGCUAAAUGUAAUCGCAUGUAUGCGGCUAGGAAACACAAACCUGUGUCUUCAAAAAAAAUUCCAUCACAAGCUUUUUUUACUUCGAAUUCACACCAUUCAAAGAAUAUCAAUUCAAAAUGCUACACAAAAUAUAUAAAAUGUCUAAGCAUAAUUUGUGAAUCUAUAUUAUGUCUUUUAUCUUUUAUGCUUAAGGAUUGACAGACUAAAUCAUGUAAUUAGACAUUUCGAAAGUGAUUUGCAAUAUUGCAUUCAACAUUAUGAUAAGAAUUAGUUCUCAAAAUUGUGCUUGAGACCUGAUGUCAAGAUCAAACAUGAUCACUUUAUUAAAACAUGAUCACUUUAACAUGAUCAAAAUAUGUUUGAUCACUUUAUGAUCAAACAUGAUCACUUUAUGAUCACUUUAUUAAAACAUGAUCACUUUAUUACAAAUUCAUUAAACUUUCGGAUAUGGGAACAAUCUACCAUAAACAAUUUUAAUUAUUAGUCUAUAUGUUAUAAAAAUACAUUUAAGCACUGCAGUUGCAUAACAAAUCAAUAAACACUCAUAAGUUGUAUUUUUAAACCAAGGUACACAGUUGCACUGUCUGCUAUAGCAAUUCCAUCUGUUUACAUAUGCUAAAUAAAAGCUAAAAUGUAGUAGAAUUUUUCACACACAAAAAAAGAAAAUAGCAUGCCAUCGCUGAGCUUUGGUUACUGCUUAGGAAUGCCCUUUUUAUGCGAGGUAGAUGAAGCGAUUUAUUUAAACCUGCACGGUUAAGGAAUAUUAAAUCUAAAAGAAGAAAGUUGUAUACCAUACUAUACAACUUAUUUCAGAUCUAGCCACACUAUCUCAGGACAGUUUGAUAAGUUGACUUGAAAUUAAACAGUGAUGUAAUACUCCAACAAAGAUGUACUCAAACUUAUUAGUUUUUCAUGUUGAUAUGUUGAUGAAAUUUCAAUGUUGCAUGAUUGCAGCAAGCUAAAGUUUCAUGAUAGAUUUUCACCAGUUUCUACCACAACAUAUUUAAGACUAAGGGGGAAAUGAAAAAAUAGGAUAUACAUGUAUAAUGUGGCACACAAAAUAUUCCUAGAGAGGUAUACUAGCAAUUUUAUCAAAUGAAAUAAGCUCUCUAUAUACAUUCAGAGCUCAGAAUAUAGGUAUUACCGGGCAUGUGCUACUCCUCCAUAUCUUUGUAUUUGCCUCCAGCUCAUCAAUCAUGUCUUCAAUGUUGUAGGCAGCAGAUUUGAGCUUCUUGAGCCAAAGCCGGACCGAUUCACUACGUUGGGAGCGUUUCUCAGCAUCCGCCGUCACGGCCUUCACAGUGAUCAAGGUGCCCUUCAUCUCCUCAAAAUCAUCACUGAACCUCUGCAGAAGCUCCACCCUUUCCCAGGCAGCCUGACCAAGCAUGCCAGCCACACGCUGCACAACAGCUCCAGCAAUCAUCUCAGCACCCCCACUCAUGACUAUAGGCCUUGAUCUCUCGCGCACAGGUAUUAUUUGUGCUGCGCCCAAGAUAGCUCAUAGAUAGAACAAAGAUGAUGUGCUCUGCUAUUUAUACUGCUUUCUUUCUUAGCCUGAAGCUUUUGCACCUGAUACCUGGAGUGUAGUGUAGUUGAGUGCUGGGGAUAUCUACUGAAGGCAAAAUGCAUAUAUUCUGAUGCAGAGUUGCACCUUGCAAGCCUCGACCUUUGAGGAAAGGUAUAUGCAUGAUGGCCUCUCAGGAAAGGAACAUAUUUGGUGAAAAAAAGUAAAGAGAAGAACCUCAGAUUAAUUCGAAGAUGUACAAUGAAAAAUGGUAGUUAACAUGAUGCUGAGACCUUCACCUUUUAGUUCAGGAAUGAUGUGGUCCUUCGUCUCUGUGAAGAAAUGAACCUUCGUAAGAAAAGCAUUCUGCAGUUUGCAUUCUUUGAGUAGGACAUACAAAUUGCAGAGAACAAAUGCUGCAUAGCAUGUGCAGGACAUUCAUAAGCCAAGUAUUCUAUCCAGGCUAUGUGAGAAUGCAGGAGCAAAUAGUGGAAUUUGUCAGUUGUCACCUCUUUCUAGUUAAAACCUAUCCAUAAUUCUGAUCGGAGAGUUGAUAUGGACGACUCGAUUCCAAGGGAUGCGUGAACACCCGACUUCCCGCCCGCCAAUUUGUCACUGCAGCGAUCCGCGUCGAUCUGGGCCGUACAAGCCCGAUCCAGCGUCCUGGACAGGCGUCCACCCCCCUAGGGUCCGAUUGGGCGGCGCCAAUGGCGAUGCCUCCGCCGCCAGCUCACCUGGGGCCAAGAUGGUUCGAAGCGUGUUCCAGCUUCCCAGGGAGAAGUUUCCGUCGACUACCUUCAUCUAGGUGGCCGACGCCAUCGCGGCGGCGCGGUUUGACGCAGGGCGCGGGCGGGCGGCGAGCCGGCGAGACUGCGAGCCGUGCAGCGCGUGCUGGUGCCUGGUACGGGUGGAGCUAGGUUCUCGCCCAGAUGGACGGGUUCCAUGGUACGGCAGCACGAGCUCCGCCGGAUGCCAGGAUCUCACCACCUAUGGUGGAUCAUUGACACCCAAAUAUGAAUAGAACUUAGGUAAUUGAGUUAGAAGCAUAUCCAACAGCAACAUUGUACGAUGACCCAGCCAUUAGAGUCGGGGACAAAGCUGGGGAUGCAGUCGUCGUAGUUGUACUAGCUUGUAGGAGAUCGCGUCGUCCCUCUAGCCUCCACCUCGUUUGGCCGGAGACAGCAAGAGUACCCCGUCGCCAACGCCACCGACGGCCGGAACACGCUGUACCCCGUGGAACUCGCCUCCGUCGUCGGCUCGUGCGCAGCGGACCGCCUCCUGAGAUCGCUCCCCGCGGGCGCCGCCGGCGUCGCGGGCUUCUCCCGGUGUCCGCUCUCCCUGCCGUCGCAGCUCUCCUCGCAGCGCGCGUUCGGCAACAAAUUCGCCCUGUGCCUGCCGGACUUCGCCUUGUUCGGCAACACGUCGGUGAACCUGGGGCUCCAGUUCCUCCCCGACCUCGCCUCCGUCAUCCCGUACACCCCGCUCGUGAGGAACCCCCGGAACGACGCUCACUACCUCCCCGUCAAGACCAUCUCGGUGCGCUGGGAUCAGGACGUCGAGGUGUCCAUGCCCCCCGGCGCGCUCGACCUCGACUUCAACACCGGCCGCGGCGGCGUGGUGCUGAGCACGGUGACGCCGUACAUGGCCAUGCGCUCCGACGUGUACCAGAAUAAACGUGUCACGUCAGUAUAUCUGCUCCUCGAUCCAGCAUCUCCAACAGAUUGUAUCCACGGAUAUCCGCAUCUGAUUAAUCGUUAAGUCAACUCCAACACUUCCUUUCCUUCUCCUUUAGCAACGCAAAAUAAAGCCUGAACGUCUCUGCAUAUACAAACACAUAUAACAGGAUCAAACCAUCGAUCUCCAGUUCUCAUUUUCUCAACAACCCAAAGCUCUUCCAGUCGCUAGAAGAAGAGGAAGCACCAUGCCACCUUCGCUGCCACUGCAACCCAGCACCAUGCCUGUUCGCUUCAGCAGCAGCCGCACAGCACUAUAGCUGCUGCUAAUUGGGACACUGGCUAUAGGCCAGCUGCUGCAGCAACUGCAACCCAGCAUGCAUCCUGCAGCUAGCCGUCGCAGUGCGCGCGGCUUCGGCGGCAGGUUCGCGAUGUGCCUCCCGGCCUUCGCUGCAUUCGGCGACACGCCGGUGUACCUGGGGACGGAGUCGCGGGGCCUCGUCGAGUACACGGGCUCCAUCCCGUACGCGCCGCUCCUCGCGAACCCGAGGAACCCCGGCCAGCGGCCACUACAUCCCCGUCAAGGGCAUCUCCGUGAACUGGCACGGCGUGGACGUGGCGGCCUCCCUGCCCAACGGUGCGCUGGACCUCGACGGCCGCACCGGCCGAGGCGGUGUCGUGCUGAGCACGGUCACGCCGUACACCAUCAUGCGGGCGGAGGUGUUCCGCCCGUUGAUCCAGGCGUUCGACGAUGCAAUAACCAGGCUGCAAACCAUGGCGCCAUCAAUUACUGCUACUGAUACUGAUGAGCUGGUACUUAAUUAAUGAGCUGACUGAUACUGAUGAUCAUCUUUGAGCUGAUCGAGAUCAACUCACCUGCAGAGGGAAGAUGAAAGAUGUGAAGCGUGUGCCAGCGGUGAAGCCGUUCCAGCUGUGCUACAACGGCGCCUUCCCGCUGCUGAAGCGGCCGAUCAGCUACGACGUACCAAGGAUCGACCUGGAGCUGGCCGGCGCCAGAAGCAACUGGACUGUGUUCAAUAACAACGACCUGGUGCAGGUGGACGGCGCCAUGUGCGUCGGGAUCCUCGAGAUGGGGCCGGGCGCCAUGCCGGUUGAUGGCGAGCUGGCAAUGGUGAUCGGCGGGAAGACGAUGGAGAACAACCUGCUGGUGUUCGAUCUGGAGAAAGGGGUGCUGGGGUUCAGCAUGUUGUUGGACUUUCAGUUGACCAGCUGCUACAGCUCUAACCUGAGUCGCCUUUGAGCCAGUAACAGAGUGCUGCAGCUUUGUAGGCAAGUGCUGCACUUGUACUCCACCAGCACAAGCUCUGUAGGCAUCUCUGUUUCACGCAUUUUGCAGCAGUAUCAUUGUGGUCCUCAGGCACGAUGCACAACAAAUUUCAGGCCAUCUCUCUCCCUUUUCCCGUUGCCUGUGCUGCACCACUAUGUUUAGAGUCGGAUCCUCACUUGUUAGCUCCAGAUAACUAAUGCUGAUCAAAUGCACUAUGGAUUCAAGAUAAAAUGCAUGAAUUCAUCGACGCAGUUAACAGAUACAACCAAAAAGAAACUCUAUGUAAUGCAAGUUCAUGCAGGCCAGAAUGAAAGCACAGUCGAAUGGAACUGUACCUUAUGCUUUACACAGGCAAGAACAUUUCGACGACACUUUCAGCUUAUGAGGUGGUGGUGCCACGUCGGACCAGCGUGGACGUCCGUGGCGCCACUCCCGGUGGCAGGCGGUGCCAUGCUGAGUACAGUGACGCCGUGCACAACGUCACGGUCAGGUGGCCCGACGUAUUCCUCCCGUCCCCCCCGAUAGUUCGACGAGGCCAUGAACAGGUUCUCCUUGCGCUCUGCAAAACAUGGUGUCAUUAUCCAAGUACAGUACCAAAUAGCACUACCUGGCUGAGCUGAUUAGUCAUGCGUCAACUGAACUCACAUGCAAGGGCAACAUGACCGGCGUGAAGAGCGUGCCGCCGCCAGGUCACCGUCGUGAAGGCGGCGGUUGAGCCUUCGAGCUGUUCUACAACGGUUCUUGAAGUGGCCGGUCAGCUAAGACCCUGGAGAGAGCGACCUGAUGGUGUUCCGUAUGAUUAAUUUCAUGAAUGGAAGGGCGUACUUGUUAGCUUCAGAUAAAAUGCUCAAGAUCAAAUAGAUGAAUUCAUCACCGAAGUUAUAUUAAUUGAUACGGUUGGAAAAAAAACUCUUUACCAAUAUUAAUUGAUACGGUCGGAAAAAAAACUCUUUACCAAUUUCAUGCAGGCAAAGAUAUAAUUAAAGAGACUACGAUCAAGAGAAAAAUCUUGGUAACCGUACCUACAUGAUGCUUUACACAGGCAACGGCAUUUGGACAGAGAUACCCGGCUCUCCUUGUAUACAUAAUGCAUAUGGAAUUUGGACAGCUAACCGUCAUUUCAAACAAAAAGCUAACUAUGAUUUGAGAGGUCGGGUAGUAUAUGGUAGAUCCUUGACAGCCCUCAAGGUGGCCUGCCAAAAAUUGAAAAUAAAAAAUGACUCGAGACUUUAGAAAUUCAUAUUUAGGGGGUGUUUGGCUUAGGGGGGCUAAAGUUUAGCCCUGUCAUAUUGGAUGUUAAGAUACUAAUUAGAAGUAUUAAAUAUAGUCUAAUUACAAAAGUAAUUACACAGAUGGAGUCUAAUUCAUGAGACGAAUCUAUUAAGUCUAAUUAGUCCAUGAUUUGACAAUGUAGUGCUACAAUAACCAUUUGCUAAUGAUGGAUUAAUUAGGCUAAAUAGAUUCAUCUCGCGAAUUAGCCUAGGGGUUCUGCAAUUAGUUUUAUAAUUAGUUCAUGUUUAGUCCUCAUAAUUAGCAUCCGAACAUCCGAUGUUACAGGACUAAACUUUAGCCCCUGGUAUCCAAACACGCCCUUAGUCACUAUUGACUAAUUUGUCCGCACAAUCGUUAGCCAAGUCACAGAAAUUAAAGAAAAGCAUGCACUGUAAGUUAUCUGGCAGAAAAGAAAACAGCAUCGAUAAGGAGGUUCUCACCAUGCUAGAUGAGGUGUGAAGCUUCUUUUACUCGAAUUUGACUUCUGGAAUAUGAGCGAUCUUGUGCUUGUCCUCUCCUUGGCACUUCUCUGACAGUGCUAGGCAGUUGGCGAUCCGCAGUUUCUUUAACCCAGUAAGACGCUGUAUGCUUUCUGGCAGUGAAGAUAGCAUUGGGCAUGAGCCGAUUUCAAUUUGUCUCAAAGAAGUUAAAUCUCCCAGCCAUUCUGGCAGUGUCUCCAAGUCAUAACAGUCCUCUACCAAGAAUACCCGGAGGGAGAUGAAAGAUCGGAUAACCUCUGGCAAUGUUGUAAGACCCGUGAGGGAGCCAAGAGCAAGGUUCUCGAUAGAACAGAGAUACCGGGCCCUAUGCCACGCUUCAGGAGAAGGGGAUGUGCCCGCUAUCAAAAGGUAAUAUGGAGAAGUGAUAGAUGAGAGGUUCCCAAACCCAUGUUCCGGAAAAACGUGAUCGCUAUUCCGUACCGCCCAGGUCACGCUCCUUGGGGGAUAAGGCAGGAAUUUCAACUUUGGGCAAUUAGAAGCAAACAGCAGAUGUAAAUUAGGGAUUAAGAACUCUUCAUCUUCAUUAGACGUUCUCGUUGUCCACCACCCUUCCAAGUUGUCCAUUCCCUCCA
RNAcentral lists this long non-coding RNA (43913 nucleotides) under Setaria italica (foxtail millet). RNAcentral describes it as "long non-coding RNA (SITA_LNC004184)". Lineage: Eukaryota; Viridiplantae; Streptophyta; Magnoliopsida; Poales; Poaceae. The record is from RNAcentral.